GUCGUUAAGAAUUCCUUCAACAUAUGGCAUUUAAAUUGCUAAAAAGUAUUCCAUCGCAAAGACGUAUUUAACUUAGACACCCUUCCACCCAUUGUUGGAUAUUUAAGGGCUUGUCAAUUCCAUAACAUUCACGCUUUGUGGGGUCCAGAAAUAAACAGCAUAAUACCUGGAAUCUGGUAGGGGGUGGAUUUUGGGAAAACAAGAGGCAGCUUUUUCCAGGUGGCCUAAGAGAACAUUUGUUUGUUGUGGGUUGCUGGGCCCACGGCAGGUGUCCUCGGAAUGGAACGUAUUGUCGGUCAGGGUAUUGAGUUCUUCGUCUGUGAGGCGUGUCCCCGGGCCGGGACGCCUGGUCCCCGGGCGAGUUGGGUCUAAGCGCAGAUCUCCUUCCAACUCCGCGUCGAGGAGCCCCCGACUUUUGGCUAGUACUAGCGGACCGCUCCGGGCCAGACGCCGGGCGCUCACGCCACGCGCCGCCACGUGCCAGGGCCAGGGCCAGGGCCAGGGCCCCGCCCCCUCCGGCUCCCGGCCACGCCCCUCGCACGCCGCCCUCUGCGCUCGCGCCGCAGGUCCGCCUCCAGGCGACCUCCGCCAGUCCUCCGGGUCCAUAAGUAGCCCCGCCCCCGGACGGCGGGCCCCGCCCCCGCAAUCCGGGCCCCGGGGCUGCCCCGCCCCUCGGGCCGCCGGCGAGGCGUGGGGGCGGGGCCCUGCGCGAUGACGUGAGCGGGCGUGCGCCGUGACGGCCCGCGUCCCUGUUACUCAGCGGAGCGGCCGAGGCCGGACGACGCGGCCCGGAUCGCGGAGCCGCCGGCGACGCUGGGUAACGGCCGCGGCGACCGCCCGGACGGCGCCGGUCCCCGCCGGCGGGCUCUCCCGUCGCCGUUCGCCCGCGCGGCCGGCCAACUGUUCUCCGUUAAAAAGACCUUUCCUUUGUCAACUGGGAUGAACUACAGUUCUUCCAAAAAAGAUGAGCUAGAGCUUCCAGUAUGGUAUCGCAUAGGAGUGGUGAGAGCAGACGUCCUUGCCUUGUUCCUG
Molecule: long non-coding RNA, 1032 nt
Filed under: Equus asinus (donkey)
Lineage: Eukaryota; Metazoa; Chordata; Mammalia; Perissodactyla; Equidae
Description: lncRNA (ENSEASG00005034816.1)
Source: RNAcentral